This 126-nucleotide small RNA is filed under the name Marmota monax (woodchuck). The record is from RNAcentral. Lineage: Eukaryota; Metazoa; Chordata; Mammalia; Rodentia; Sciuridae.
GCUGGGAGUGGUAGUGCACCCCUGUAAUCCCAGUGACCCAGGAGGCUGAGGCAGGAGGAUCACAAGUUCGAGGACAGCCUCAGCAAUUUAGCAAGACCUCAGUGACUUAGUAAGACCCUAUCUCAA